UAGGUAUGCAAGGCGAUUUUUCGCAGA
This 27-nucleotide non-coding RNA is filed under the name Mus musculus (house mouse). Lineage: Eukaryota; Metazoa; Chordata; Mammalia; Rodentia; Muridae. The record is from RNAcentral.